This 496-nucleotide ribosomal RNA is filed under the name uncultured bacterium. RNAcentral describes it as "partial 16S ribosomal RNA". It matches the Rfam family "Bacterial small subunit ribosomal RNA", at positions 29 to 507 of the family's 1533-position model. The record is from RNAcentral.
AUGAACGCUGGCGGCGUGCCUAAUACAUGCCAGUCGAGCGCACGGACGAGAAGCUUGCUUCUCUGAUGUUAGCGGCGGACGGGUGAGUAACACGUGGAUAACCUACCUAUAAGACUGGGAUAACUUCGGGAAACCGGAGCUAAUACCGGAUAAUAUUUUGAACCGCAUGGUUCAAAAGUAAAAGACGGUCUUGCUGUCACUUAUAGAUGGAUCCGCGCUGCAUUAGCUAGUUGGUAAGGUAACGGCUUACCAAUGCAACGAUGCAAAGCCGACCUGAGAGGGUGAUCGGCCACACUGGAACUGAGACACGGUCCAGACUCCUACGGGAGGCAGCAGUAGGGAAUCUUCCGCAAUGGGCGAAAGCCUGACGGAGCAACGCCGCGUGAGUGAUGAAGGUCUUCGGAUCGUAAAACUCUGUUAUUAGGGAAGAACAUAUGUGUAAGUAACUGUGCACAUCUUGACGGUACCUAAUCAGAAAGCCACGGCUAACUACGUG